RNAcentral lists this ribosomal RNA (496 nucleotides) under uncultured bacterium. Its description in RNAcentral is "bacterial SSU rRNA". It matches the Rfam family "Bacterial small subunit ribosomal RNA", at positions 28 to 529 of the family's 1533-position model. The record is from RNAcentral.
GAUGAACGCUGGCGGCGUGCUUAACACAUGCAAGUCGAACGUGAGAAUAGCAAUAUUUGAAAGUGGCAAACGGGUGAGUAACACGUGGGAACCUGCCUCGAAGUGGGGGAUAACGAUUGGAAACGGUCGCUAAUACCGCACGGUUCUGCUCUGAUGGGAAUGGAGCAGAUAAAGAUUUAUCGCUUUGAGAGGGGCCCGCGGCCGAUUAGCUAGUUGGUAAGGUAAAGGCUUACCAAGGCGAUUAUCGGUAGCUGGUCUGAGAGGACGACCAGUCACACGGGCACUGAGACACGGGCCCGACUCCUACGGGAGGCAGCAGUAAGGAAUAUUGGUCAAUGGACGCAAGUCUGAACCAGCCAUGCCGCGUGGAGGAUGAAGGUCCUCUGGAUUGUAAACUUCUUUUAUUUGGGAAGAAACCCACGAUUUCUAUUGUGGUUGACGGUACCAGAUGAAUAAGCACCGGCUAACUCCGUGCCAGCAGCCGCGGUAAAGUAGA